Molecule: non-coding RNA, 90 nt
Filed under: Geosporobacter subterraneus
Lineage: Bacteria; Bacillati; Bacillota; Clostridia; Peptostreptococcales; Thermotaleaceae
Also listed under: 1 other name
Description: c-di-GMP sequence
Rfam family: c-di-GMP-I riboswitch aptamer
About the family: GEMM was predicted in a large-scale screen for bacterial structured RNA regulatory elements. Genes associated with GEMM are involved in a diverse array of functions, including chemotaxis regulation, signal transduction, secretion and chitin.
Source: RNAcentral
UUGUGUCAAGGGCAAACUUGUCGAAAGGCAAGGACGCAAAGCCAUAGGGUCUAAGGUGCUAUAUUGCAUUAUGACAGCCUAGUUGCCGCU